UCUUUUUCACACUAUUCCAUCUCUGACGGCGUUCUCCUGUUGAAGCUCCGUCUCUGGCUCCCUUUCUGAAUCUACCAUAUUUGAAGCUCUCAUAUCUAUUGAAGGGCAACUAUUCAAGAUCAAUAGUUACACAGAUGGGUAUGCCUUCGCCUCUUAAUACAGACUUGCCAUGAAUGAGAAGAAGACAAGAAGCGUGAGAGGUCAAGGAGUUGUUGAUUCAAGCUUUUCU
Molecule: long non-coding RNA, 229 nt
Organism: Rosa chinensis
Lineage: Eukaryota; Viridiplantae; Streptophyta; Magnoliopsida; Rosales; Rosaceae
Exons: 3
Source: RefSeq, a predicted model, not a curated record